RNAcentral lists this long non-coding RNA (477 nucleotides) under Papio anubis (olive baboon). RNAcentral's name for it is "lncRNA (ENSPANG00000045322.1)". The record is from RNAcentral. Lineage: Eukaryota; Metazoa; Chordata; Mammalia; Primates; Cercopithecidae.
AUUCUUGUACAGUCUGAAAUCCUAGAAAUGCUAAGAUCUCAGGACAUCUAUGCUAAGCCCAGAAAACACUGACGAGCUUUUCCGUUCCUGGAGGAGGGCAUCCUUAUGACAGUGGCCCUAAAAAAACAGAUGGGAUAUGUUACCAAGUGCAGGAGAAGCACUAGAUUGUGAAGGAGAUAGGUGUCAAUAUUAUCAAAGGGACAACUGUUAUUUGAAGCAGCCAGCAAAUAAGAAGGCCCUGCUUUGCUGCAAUUGCUCUGCUAAAGUGUGCCUUUCAUGAUGUGAAAUCUGAACCUUGGGGAUGGUGUCUUACUGGAAGGCUGUGGGCCGAUGCCAGGUGACAUGAUAGACAAUUACUGGACUAAUUUGCAAAGCGCAUUUCUGAAGUCACAUUUUUUGCUUGACAUGGAUUCCAUCUUCACAGAGAAGCAGGUCCUGAGUUCUUGUCCCGCAUCCAGGAAGAAUGAGGUUAUGUGA